AACGAACGCUGGCGGCAUGCCUAACACAUGCAAGUCGAACGAGACCUUCGGGUCUAGUGGCGCACGGGUGCGUAACGCGUGGGAACCUGCCCUUAGGUUCGGAAUAACUCCCCGAAAGGGGUGCUAAUACCGGAUAACGUCUUCGAACCAAAGAUUUAUCGCCCUUGUAUGGGCCCGCGUUGGUUUAGCUAGUUGGUAGGGUAAAAGCCUACCAAGGCGACGAUCCAUAGCUGGUCUGAGAGAAUGAUCAGCCACACUGGGACUGAGACACGGCCCAGACUCCUACGGGAGGCAGCAGUGGGGAAUAUUGGACAAUGGGCGAAAGCCUGAUCCAGCAAUGCCGCGUGAGUGAUGAAGGCCUUAGGGUUGUAAAGCACUUUUACCCGGGAUGAUAAUGACAGUACCGGGAGAAUAAGCACCGGCUAACUCCGUG
RNAcentral lists this ribosomal RNA (433 nucleotides) under uncultured bacterium. Its description in RNAcentral is "partial 16S ribosomal RNA". It matches the Rfam family "Bacterial small subunit ribosomal RNA", at positions 29 to 507 of the family's 1533-position model. The record is from RNAcentral.